Long non-coding RNA from Choloepus didactylus (southern two-toed sloth), 677 nucleotides. RefSeq lists it as uncharacterized. The record is from RefSeq and is a predicted model, not a curated record. NCBI's taxonomy places the organism in Eukaryota, Metazoa, Chordata, Mammalia, Pilosa, Megalonychidae. The transcript has 3 exons.
GUGGGCCCUGUGGGCGGAAAACGGCUGCUUCCUGUUUCGCCCCCUCCAACCCCAGACUCCGGUGAGAAGCAAAGUCAACCAACGUUCCCAAACUAGACAUCCCACCGUCUGCCUGGAAGUUUCACCACCAGCCUCCCCGAGCAAAGGCACACACCGGUGUGUGCAUGCGUGUACGGGGCCCAGCCACAGUGGACGGACCCACACUCACGGGAGAAUACUCUGAAAGUGCUGAGAAGAGUUUUGCAACCAUGCUAUCAGCAGGAGGUGAGGACACUGAGGCUCAGAGAGGCUGAGUAAGCGCACCCUAAGUUACCCAGCUUGAAAACGGCCAAACUGAAAUCCCACGGCCAGCAGGACCCAGGAGCCUCUCCUGGGAGCCCACUCCCUCACCUGGAGGAGGAAGGGGCGGGAACCCUGCAUCUUGAGUCUCCCCCAGCUCUAAGGGGCUUCGAUUGUAGUCAAAUUCAAAGUGUAAACAAGAUUUGUUAUGCUUUUAAUUACCUUUGCGGCACUGAUUUGCAUCCGGACAAUGUGCUCAUGACAAAUGGCUUUUUAAUCUAUUCAUUAAAAAUCUGGGAGAGGCAGGUAGGAAGGCUUUGAUGGCAUCCAGUGCAAGUCCCUGUGGGGUCUGCAGGGGCUACCCCGGGCUCUCACUCGGGCCCCUUCUGACUUCCCUG